UAUCAUAUGCUGCUUUACCAUUAACCAAAUGUUUAGAUUAAAUGGCUAGCUGCCGUUUAUGACGUUUGGUAUACUCCUAUAUCUGGUAUUGCUCCAUAAGAAGUUUCAUCCCCUAAGAUUCUCCCAUUCAAAACUUUGGUAUUCCACUUGAGCAUGUCAGAUGAGAGAUGAGAUGCCUCCAUUUUAGCUAUCACCACCACUGACUCCGCUUCUUGAUGGCUUUUUGGAGGUUCAUUUUGAUUGCAUAGAUAGCAAACAUAAACUUAUUGCUUUCAGCUCCUAGAAUAGGGUUGUUAAAGAGUCUCUCUUCCUACUUAAGAUUAUAUUGGCAUAUGUAGGAGUAGAUUCACCAAGUAUUGCUUCAUGUAAGUCCUGAUCUCACCAAGUAUUGCUUUCUUCUAUAUUUCUUCAAGUAUUGCUUCUUCACUUCCGGCAUCUGUAAGUCUUAAUUUCAC
Molecule: long non-coding RNA, 455 nt
Filed under: Phoenix dactylifera (date palm)
Lineage: Eukaryota; Viridiplantae; Streptophyta; Magnoliopsida; Arecales; Arecaceae
Description: long non-coding RNA (PDAC_LNC021108)
Source: RNAcentral